RNAcentral lists this long non-coding RNA (233 nucleotides) under Elaeis guineensis (African oil palm). Its description in RNAcentral is "long non-coding RNA (EGUI_LNC025690)". The record is from RNAcentral. Lineage: Eukaryota; Viridiplantae; Streptophyta; Magnoliopsida; Arecales; Arecaceae.
GUGGACAAUGCUCAAUCCUCUUCUCAUCCAUGGUAUAAUUUUCAUAAUAGUCCAUCCUCAACUUAUUCUUAUAGUUUGAAUUUUUUUUUUCAUUUUUUGCAUAAUCCAAUCUUUCAUAUAUUGAGUUUCCACAAAUUCAAUUUUAUCUUGAAAAAAUUUGAGUAGAAAAUAAAAAAAAUAAAUCAUAAUAAUCCAUCUAAUUAGAACAUAAACUAUAUUGGAAUAUCAAGAUU